ACCCGGGCACCGCGCAACAGGCGGUCACGAACCUCGUCAGGUCCGGAAGGAAGCAGCGAUCAGUGAUGCGGCCUGUGUCGCGGGUCGCUCCGGGCCUU
Molecule: signal recognition particle RNA, 98 nt
Filed under: Desulfobacteraceae bacterium
Lineage: Bacteria; Pseudomonadati; Thermodesulfobacteriota; Desulfobacteria; Desulfobacterales; Desulfobacteraceae
Description: signal recognition particle sRNA small type
Rfam family: Bacterial small signal recognition particle RNA
About the family: The signal recognition particle (SRP) is a universally conserved ribonucleoprotein involved in the co-translational targeting of proteins to membranes. Archaeal SRP consists of a 7S RNA and homologues of the eukaryotic SRP19 and SRP54 proteins.
Source: RNAcentral